This 207-nucleotide ribosomal RNA is filed under the name uncultured bacterium. RNAcentral's name for it is "partial 16S ribosomal RNA". It matches the Rfam family "Bacterial small subunit ribosomal RNA", at positions 568 to 774 of the family's 1533-position model. The record is from RNAcentral.
UGUGUAGGCUGUUUGGUAUGUCGGAUGUGAAAUCUCACCGCUCACCGGUGAAACUGCAUUCGAAACUGCCAGGCUAGAGUACGGGAGAGGAGAGCGGAAUUCUUGGUGUAGCGGUGGAAUGCGUUGAUAUCAAGAAGAACACCGGUGGCGAAGGCGGCUCUCUGGAACGUUACUGACGCUGAGACACGAAAGCUAGGGGAGCGAACA